CCUAUCUCCAGCAGAGGUGAGCUGCAGAAGAGCCCCCAUCCAGCCCAGCGGGAGCCAUGGCCUCUGCACACAUCUGGACACUUGGGAUUCUGUUUACGCUCAGUGGACUGAGAGCUCAGUCGGUGACUCAGCCAGAAGAUCAGGUCCCUGUCGCGGAAGGGGAUCCAGUGACUGUGAAGUGCACCUAUUCAGUUUCGGGGAGCCCUUAUCUUUUUUGGUAUGUCCAACAUCGCAAUCAAGGUCUCCAGUUCCUUCUGAGAUACAUCGGAGGGGACAAGUUGGUUCAAGGCAACUACGGUUUUGAGGCUGAAUUUAACAAGAGCCAAACCUCUUUCCACCUGAAGAAACCAUCUGUUGCAGGGAGUGACUCUGCCUUGUACUUCUGUGCUGUGAGCGACACAGUGGUGGGGGCCGCAGGCAGAGCUGAAUACAAACCCCUGAGCACAGAAAACCUUGCUCCUGAAGCCUUGAUAUCCCUCCACAAGGGGGUGUUGUGGCUCCAGGAUUUGUCCUUCACUAUAACUAAAAGAAUUUUUUUUUCUAAACCCACAGAAUUUGUUCAUUUGACAAGUAUAUAUUGAAAUAAAUCCUUGUGUGCCAGCUACUCUGCUGAGCACUGAUCAUAAAGAGGUGAAAGAAAGCAUCCUUGAUCUGCAGAUGCCAGGUGUGAUCCCAAACAUUUGUGAAUCCCUUUAA
This is a non-coding RNA of Cervus elaphus (red deer), 696 nucleotides long. The record is from the annotation of a RefSeq genome assembly. Lineage: Eukaryota; Metazoa; Chordata; Mammalia; Artiodactyla; Cervidae.